UUUUCAGUAUAAGUAUGUCCCAUGACUUAUUAGGGACAUACUUAUACUAAAA
This 52-nucleotide microRNA precursor is filed under the name Loxodonta africana (African savanna elephant). RNAcentral describes it as "mir-1302 microRNA precursor family". It matches the Rfam family "mir-1302 microRNA precursor family". Lineage: Eukaryota; Metazoa; Chordata; Mammalia; Proboscidea; Elephantidae. The record is from Rfam by way of RNAcentral.